CCUUGAUAUAAAACAUAUAUAGAGGAAAUUACUAGGUGUGGAAUCCUUAGAAUAGGAAGGUGUAGACUGUAGAGAAUAGGGGAGCCCAAAGAUGGUCAUGUGCUAAGACUACGUGUAUAACGUUCUUCAUUUAGGUGGAAAACUACACAUUUAAUGUCCUUGCAAUUCACAAGGCUGUUAGUCUUGUGAUUCAGUUGACCAGAAAUUAACCCCUUCACUUAUUUACGCAUUCUUAUUGUUUAGGAAAUGCCAAAGUAGUCAAAAAAUCUAAUCUUUAUCAAAAGUGACAGAGCAGCUUUCAUAAUGUAAGAAAUUUGAAUCAAGGUUUGAGUGUAUUGUCAGAGUGUGUGGUCACAUUCUCUGCAGUUAUCCCAGCACAUUUUACAGUGAGUUUCUUAUGAUGGAGUCUGUGAUACACUCAAUAUCAUAACCUGUGUUCUACCAAGAGAGUAACACCAGGGCAGGAAAGAAUCGUGUCAGAAACAGGGAUAUUGUACAAGUAUCCUAAAAGUCCCAAAUAAAGAAGGUAUCCCGAUCAGACUUAGAUAAC
Non-coding RNA from Pelobates cultripes (western spadefoot toad), 550 nucleotides. Lineage: Eukaryota; Metazoa; Chordata; Amphibia; Anura; Pelobatidae. The record is from the annotation of a GenBank genome assembly.